This is a long non-coding RNA of Stegostoma tigrinum, 3886 nucleotides long. RefSeq lists it as uncharacterized. The transcript has 4 exons. The record is from RefSeq and is a predicted model, not a curated record. NCBI's taxonomy places the organism in Eukaryota, Metazoa, Chordata, Chondrichthyes, Orectolobiformes, Stegostomatidae.
CGCCUUGUCUUGUCCUGCGGGCAACUUGUCUCUUCUUCAUUCUAGAGGGGUCAUGACAUUUUUUUUAAAGUAAUGCCAGAUUUACAAAGUGCCACUCGAUGGUGCUCACUUUAACUUGGAGAGAAAUUCAAUACGAUUCCUCUGCAGUUGAAUAGCCUUCCGACCCAUGGCCAUGGACAAAUAGUCAUGAGACAGCCGAGUGAUACCGGCAUCCGAUGUAUAAUAAUAUGGCGGGAAAGGAGAGAAAAUUAGAUGCCAAAAAGAAAGCCUCGCAUUAAGUUUAACCUUAUAAUGAAGAAAUGUAGACCAAAGAGUUUAUAAGCUGAAAAUUACAGCUCAGCCUUCCAAGGGAACAUCUUUUUCACAAAACUGGGACGUAGAAAUUUGGAACUCUUCCUCCUGACCUAACAGAAAAAAAAUCAGUUGAAGUUGGGUGUGAGUUGAAAAUGCCUAAACUGAAACAACUGAUUUUGUUGGUUAAGGAUGUUAAGGGUUACGAAGCUAAGAUUUACUUACAUCGUGAUGUUAUUGUCACAUGACUUCAGUGAGCAAAAAGAUACUAGUCUAGAAUUAGCAUGUGAGCAGAGAGGUCCUGGACGGUGAAUUAGAGAACUGAAUUUGAUAUCUACUAUGUACAGCUAUAAAUAAAGCAGUCUUAAUUCGAGAUAAGCAACAAGCCAUCUCAGGGACAGUGUAUGUGCAGGCAUCGACAGACUGGGUGGCACAGUAGGUGACACUGCUGUCUCAGAGUGUCAGUGACCCAGGUUCGAUUCCAGUGGCUGACUGUGUUUGCAUGUUCUCUCUUUGUCUGCAUAGGUUUCUACCAGGUGCCCCACUUUACUCCCACAGUCCAAAGACUUUUAGAAUACUGCAUAUAAUUCUGGUUGCUGUUCUAUAGGAAGGAUGUUGUUAAACCUGACAGGCUGCAGAAAAGAUUCACAACGAUGUUGGGACUGGAGGUUUUGAGUUAAAUAGGGAGAUGCUGGAGCUUUUCUCCCCAGAGUGUCGGAGGCUGAAGGGUGACCUUUUAGGGAUUUACAAAAUCAUGAGGGGCAUGGAUAGGGUGAAUAGCCAAGGUCUUUUUCCUAGGGUGGAGUCCCAAACUAGUGGGCAUAAGUUUAAGGUGAAAGGGGAAAGAUUUAUAAAGAGCCUGAGGGGUAACACUUCAUGCUGAGGGUAGUGUAUGUAUGGAAACAGCUGCCAGAGGAAGUUGUGGAGGCAGGUACAAUUACAACAUUGUUGAAUGAUGGCUCAGUGGUUAUCACCGCUGCCUCACAGUACCAGGGACCCAGGUUCAAUUAACCCCUCAGGUUACUGUCAUUCUCCCUGUGUUGGCAUGGGUUUCCUGUGGGUGCUCCUGGUUCCUCUCUCAGUGCAAAGGAUGUGCAGGUUAGAUGGAUUGGCUGUGGGAAAUGUAAGGUUACAGAAUAGGGGGUGGAUCUGAGUGAGAUGCUCUUUGGAAGGUUGGUGUGGGCUCGAUGGGCCGAAUGACCUUCUUCAUAUCUUUAGGGAUUCAAUGAUUGUAUGAUUUAAAUGCAUCUGGAUGGUUAUAUGAAUAAAAAGGGUAUAGAGGGAUAUGAGCCAAAUACUGGCAAAUGGGACAAGGUCAGAUUGUGAUGUCUAGUCAGCGUGGACUAGUUGAACCAAAGGGUCUGUAUCCAUGCUGUAUGACUCUGUAUGCAGGUUAGGUAGAUUGGCCAUGCUAAACUAUCCAGAAAUGUGUAGUCUAGCUGGGUUAACCAUGAUAAAUGUGUAGUUACAGAAAUAGGAUGAGGUUAAGUCUGGAUGGGAUGCUCAUUGGAGGUUUAGCCUCCACCUGCACUUCAGGGAUUCAAGAAGAUACUCCAGACCUGGAUCUUAAUGAACAGAUAGCGGUACUGGCUUAAAGCACAAGAUCAAGCAGUGAACUAGAUUCACAAUGCAGUUCAGCAAUGAAUUAAAGAAUUGAACAAUUGAAUGAAGGAAUAAGUUUCUAGCGCUGAAUUGCCUCCUCCAUGUCAUAUCCAUCACAGUUUUGAAGGCUGUAAAUUCAAACCACACUCCAGGACAUCAGUAAAUAACCUGGAUUUUAUUUUAUCUUCAUGUGAAAACCAGCACUUUUUGUCCAUUCCUCAUGACAGCAGUUAAGUCUCAACCACAUGAGGUUUGGAGUCACAUGAUCAGACCAGAAUUCAUAGCUGCCAUGGAAGAAUAUGCACCCAUGUCUCAGAAUACUAGUCCCAUACAUUAGUAUUACAGCUACUACAACUACAUGCUGCUGUGCUUGGAACUCCACUCAUACAACAGAUGAAGGUAUAAUUUUGAAGAAAGCUAUGAGAGGAGCCACAGUCGAACACGGACUAAAAAGGAAGGGGAAGAGAACAUUUGGCAAAUGAUUAAAUAAUGAAGCAAAUCGUGUAGACUUUGCUUGGAUUGCUCAAGCCGAGAAGAUUGAAACAUGAUCUCGUUGAGAUCUUUAAACUGAUUACAGGAUCCAUAGGAUAGAUGAAGAGAAACUAUUCCUGCUGGUGGAGAAAUCCAGAACAGAAAGAGGACUCAUUGAAUCCUUACAAUGUGGAAGCAGCACAUUUGACCCAUCGAAUCAACACCAAUCCCUGAAGGGCAUCAUAACCAGACCCAUCCCAUACCCCAUCCCUGUAACCCUGCAUUUUCCAUGGCUGAUCCACAUAGCCUACAUAUCCCUGGACACUAUGGACAAUUUAGCAUGGCCAAUCCACCUAAUCUGCACAUCUUUGGAUUGUGGGAGGAAACCAGACCACGCAGAGGAAACACACGCAGACCCAGGGAGAAUGUACAAACUCCACACAAACAGCCACUUGAGGGUGGAAUCAAACCCAGGUCCCUGGCGCUGUGAAGCAGCAAUGCUAACAACUGAGCCACUAUGCCACCCAAAAUAAAUGGGUCUUUCUCCCACAUGGCAGGCAUGAACUUAUGGGAUACCACAGAGAUCAGUACUAGAACCCCAGUGAUUCCCACUAUAUAUUAGUGAUUUAGAUGAGGGAACUAAAUGUAAUUUCUACAAAUUUGCAGAUGACACAAAGCUGCUGUAGUGUGAUUUGGACCAGCUGAGUGAAUGGGCAAGUGCAUGGCAAAUGAAAUUUAGUGUAGAUAAUUAUGAGUUUAUCCGCUUUUGUAGCAAAAAUGGGAAAGCAGAUUAUAAUCUGAACAGCUUUAAUUUGAGAGAGGUACUGUGCAGCUAGUCCUGGGUGGCCUUGUACACCAGUCAUUGAACGUAAACAUGCAGGUGCAGCAGUCGGCAAAGAAGGAAAAUGGUAUUUUGGCCUUCAUAGUGAGCGGAUUCAAGUACAAGAGAAUAGAUUUCUUGCUGCAUUAUGCAAGGCCUUGGUGAGACCACAUCUGGAAUAUUAUGUGCUGUUUCAAUCUCCUUAUCCGAGGAAGCAUGUUCUUGCUAUGAGGGAGUGCUACACAGGUUUAGAAGACUGAUUCCUGAGGUGACAUGAUGAAUAUAUGAGGAGAGGUUGAAUCAGUUAGGAUUAUAUUCACUAGAAUUCAAAAGAAUGAAGCGGGGAGUCUCAUGGAAGCAAAUUAACUUCUCAUGAGACUAGACGGGGUAGAUGCUGAAAAAUGUGCUCAAUGGAUGGGGAGUCUAGAACUAGGGCCACUGUCCGGGGAUAUGGGAUAAUCCAUUUAGGAGUGAGAUGAGGAGAAAUUUCUUCACCUAGAAUCUGUGGGAUUUGGUGUCAAAAGCACAGAAAUCAGUUGAGGCCAACACAUUGCAUUAUUUCAGCAAGGCAGUGGAUAUAACAUUUGGGGCUAAAGGGAUCAAAGGACAUGGGGAAAAGCAGGAACAGGCUAUCAACCUGGAUGAUUAACCUAUGAUCAUAAUGAGUCACCAAGCAUUCUCAAAGGUCCAAAUGGUCUACUC